This 492-nucleotide ribosomal RNA is filed under the name uncultured bacterium. Its description in RNAcentral is "partial 16S ribosomal RNA". It matches the Rfam family "Bacterial small subunit ribosomal RNA", at positions 29 to 507 of the family's 1533-position model. The record is from RNAcentral.
AGUGAACGCUGGCGGUAGGCCUAACACAUGCAAGUCGAACGGCAGCACAGUAAGAGCUUGCUCUUACGGGUGGCGAGUGGCGGACGGGUGAGGAAUACAUCGGAAUCUACUUUUUCGUGGGGGAUAACGUAGGGAAACUUACGCUAAUACCGCAUACGACCUACGGGUGAAAGCAGGGGAUCUUCGGACCUUGCGCGAUUGAAUGAGCCGAUGUCGGAUUAGCUAGUUGGCGGGGUAAAGGCCCACCAAGGCGACGAUCCGUAGCUGGUCUGAGAGGAUGAUAGGCCACACUGGAGCGGAGACACGGUCCAGGCGCCUGAGGGAGGCAGCAGUGGGGAAUAUUGGGCAAUGGGGGCAAGCCUGGUCCAGCCAUACCGCGUGGGUGAAGAAGGCCUUCGGGUUGUAAAGCCCUUUUGUUGGGAAAGAAAAGCAGCAGGUUAAUACCCCGCUGUUCUGACGGUACCCAAAGAAUAAGCACCGGCUAACUUCGUG